This 271-nucleotide ribosomal RNA is filed under the name uncultured prokaryote. RNAcentral describes it as "partial 16S ribosomal RNA". It matches the Rfam family "Bacterial small subunit ribosomal RNA", at positions 524 to 794 of the family's 1533-position model. The record is from RNAcentral.
UACGGAGGAUGCAAGCGUUAUCCGGAUUUAUUGGGUUUAAAGGGUGCGUAGGCGGGAAAAUAAGUCAGUGGUGAAAUCCUACAGCUUAACUGUAGAAUUGCCGUUGAUACUGUUUUUCUUGAGUAUGGUCAAGGAAGGCGGAAUGUGUAAUGUAGCGGUGAAAUGCUUAGAUAUUACACAGAACACCAAUUGCGAAGGCAGCUUUCUGGCCCAUUACUGACGCUGAGGCACGAAAGCGUGGGGAUCGAACAGGAUUAGAUACCCCUGUAGU